GCAACCUGCCCCAGGCUUUGGGAUAACCCCGGGAAACCGGGGCUAAUACCGAAUAUUACCUCUGAUCGCAUGGUUGGUGGUGGAAAGUUUUUCGGCUUGGGAUGGGCUCGCGGCCUAUCAGCUUGUUGGUGGGGUGAUGGCCUACCAAGGCGACGACGGGUAGCCGGCCUGAGAGGGCGACCGGCCACACUGGGACUGAGACACGGCCCAGACUCCUACGGGAGGCAGCAGUGGGGAAUAUUGCACAAUGGGCGGAAGCCUGAUGCAGCGACGCCGCGUGAGGGAUGACGGCCUUCGGGUUGUAAACCUCUUUCAGCAGGGACGAAGCGUAAGUGACGGUACCUGCAGAAGAAGCGCCGGCCAACUACGUGCCAGCAGCCGCGGUAAGACGUAGGGCGCGAGCGUUGUCCGGAUUUAUUGGGCGUAAAGAGCUCGUAGGCGGCUUGUCGCGUCGACCGUGAAAACCUGGGGCUCAACUCCAGGCCUGCGGUCGAUACGGGCAGGCUAGAGUUCGGUAGGGGAGACUGGAAUUCCUGGUGUAGCGGUGAA
Molecule: ribosomal RNA, 549 nt
Filed under: Micromonospora sp. CPB1-11
Lineage: Bacteria; Bacillati; Actinomycetota; Actinomycetes; Micromonosporales; Micromonosporaceae
Description: bacterial SSU rRNA
Rfam family: Bacterial small subunit ribosomal RNA
Source: RNAcentral